RNAcentral lists this transfer RNA (72 nucleotides) under bacterium. RNAcentral's name for it is "tRNA-Arg". It matches the Rfam family "tRNA". Rfam says of the family: Transfer RNA (tRNA) molecules are approximately 80 nucleotides in length. Their secondary structure includes four short double-helical elements and three loops (D, anti-codon, and T loops). The record is from RNAcentral.
GUCCCCGUCGUUUAACGGAUAGGACACAGGAUUCCGGAUCCUGGAAUAGGGGUUCGAUUCCUCUCGGGGACA